RNAcentral lists this ribosomal RNA (506 nucleotides) under uncultured bacterium. Its description in RNAcentral is "partial 16S ribosomal RNA". It matches the Rfam family "Bacterial small subunit ribosomal RNA", at positions 29 to 523 of the family's 1533-position model. The record is from RNAcentral.
AGUGAACGCUGGCGGUAGGCCUAACACAUGCAAGUCGAACGGCAGCACAGAGGAGCUUGCUCCUUGGGUGGCGAGUGGCGGACGGGUGAGGAAUACAUCGGAAUCUACUCUGUCGUGGGGGAUAACGUAGGGAAACUUACGCUAAUACCGCAUACGACCUACGGGUGAAAGCAGGGGAUCUUCGGACCUUGCGCGAUUGAAUGAGCCGAUGUCGGAUUAGCUAGUUGGCGGGGUAAAGGCCCACCAAGGCGACGAUCCGUAGCUGGUCUGGCAGGAUGAUCAGCCACACUGGAACUGAGACACGGUCCAGACUCCUACGGGAGGCAGCAGUGGGGAAUAUUGGACAAUGGGCGCAAGCCUGAUCCAGCCAUACCGCGUGGGUGAAGAAGGCCUUCGGGUUGUAAAGCCCUUUUGUUGGGAAAGAAAUCCAUCUGGUUAAUACCCGGGUGGGAUGACGGUACCCAAAGAAUAAGCACCGGCUAACUUCGUGCCAGCAGCCGCCGUAA